This is a non-coding RNA of Pelobates cultripes (western spadefoot toad), 367 nucleotides long. The record is from the annotation of a GenBank genome assembly. NCBI's taxonomy places the organism in Eukaryota, Metazoa, Chordata, Amphibia, Anura, Pelobatidae.
UGGAAGCAGCGGUGGAGGAGGAUGAGGUAGCCAACACUGUUUUUUAUAUAUAUAUAUAUAUAUAUAUUUAUUUUUUUAAUUUUUUUUAUUGGGAUAGCCCCCCAAAUAUUGGGACAUAUAAAAAAAGACAACUCUGUUCCGCAGAGUAGCUGUUGACAUUAUAGUUGCGCAGGCACUUUGUUGACUCUAGAGAACCUCGGGCCAAUCGCACAUCCCCGUGGCGGCGACUUUGCAUGCGGAUGUCAUCCAUAUCAACUUUCGAUGCCAGUUUCUGCGCCUACCAUGGUGACCACGGGUAACGGGGAAUCAGGGUUCCAUUCCAUACAGGGACCCUGAGAAACGGCUACCACAUGCAAGGAAGUCAGCA